UUGCGGGUUGGUCAGGCUUGGACGCGUUUGAUCGCAGCAAACACCUGCGGGCAUUCGCAGAAGUGGUGCGGGAUAAUAUUCCCUUACUUGCAGU
RNAcentral lists this transfer RNA (94 nucleotides) under Rhodobacteraceae bacterium UBA1957. RNAcentral describes it as "tRNA-Ala(cgc)". Lineage: Bacteria; Pseudomonadati; Pseudomonadota; Alphaproteobacteria; Rhodobacterales; Paracoccaceae. The record is from RNAcentral.